CCUCUAGAUUGAAAAAUAAUACUAAUUAUAAUAUAAUUAAAUAUUAAAAUAAUUAAAAUUUAGCUCUGGGCCUCGCAAAUACUAAAGACCGGCCUUAACACAUUCCAUAGACUACUCUGUACUGGAAGAACUAAAUGAAACAAGGUAAACACUGAUCUCUCCUCUUCACCUGUACUACGAACGUUCACAUACUCCGACGUUUGUUAGAUCAAACCAAAACUUGAGGCCACCACUAUUUUCGCUUUCACCGCCACCAUCUCCCUAGAUCACACACCUCCGUACUUUCAAGCCCGUUGUCUGGAACAAAGACUACAUGUGAUCACCAAGGAAGCGGUCAUCACCAACACAACAUUUAUAUCACUUUAUCUACCUCACGCCCCAUAAAGUUUUUCUCGGUUAAGUUUCGCAUCAUCCGUAUCCUCCUCACUUUCAUCUCCUAUAAUUUGUAACUGUUACCUAUACAUUCAUGGUAACGGUACGCUCCGAUUGUACAUAACUGCACGUUGUUGUUUUUGUUGUUGUUGUCGUUAUUAUAAUAAUUAUUAUUGUUAUUAUUAUUAUUAUUAUCAUUAUCAUUAUCUCUAUUAUAAUUAUGGUUGUUAUUACAAUAUUAUCUAAUAUUGUUCCCACGUAAACCACAAGCGUCUACCGUAACUUAAUGCACUUGCAGUGAAACAAGUUAAAAAAGUUGCUUUACGGAUGGAACUACUUUUGUAUAGAAACCACCACGAAAUAUUUUGCCUAUUGCAUUCAAACAAACAGUCAGACCCGAGCUUAACACCAUUGCAUUAUCAAUCCCAUACGAUUCGAGUAUCUCGACCUAUGUAAAGAUAUGAAAAUUAAAUUUAGAAAAAAAUCUGGUGAACAUAUACAACAUAAUCGAAAAAAAAAAAAUUUAAAAAAAACCCAUAUUAUACUCGUAUGUUACUAAUUUAAUAUGUCCACUCAAAAAAAAAAAAAAAUAAUAAAAAAAAAACAUUAUUUUCAAUUGUUUUGUUCGUCCUUUUGUAAUAUUUAUAACGGAACAAUAGGUUAAAUAAUAUUAAUUAUAUCGAACACAUACCUACGAACAAUAUGAUAUUUGCAAUAUCAAUAAAUCUGAAAUGAUAUGUGACAAAAGUACAAGGUUUGACGUCACUAUCUAUACUUCUAGUUGUUUAUCCUUUUUUUUCAAUUAAAGAAAUAAAUAUACGAAUACACAAAUUUUUUGGAAAAUAAAUUUGAUAAAACUUAGACUCGGUUUCUCAGG
Cinara cedri is the source of this 1249-nucleotide non-coding RNA. The record is from the annotation of a GenBank genome assembly. NCBI's taxonomy places the organism in Eukaryota, Metazoa, Arthropoda, Insecta, Hemiptera, Aphididae.